GGCCAGACUCCUACGGGAGGCAGCAGUGGGGAAUAUUGCGCAAUGGGCGAAAGCCUGACGCAGCGACGCCGCGUGAGGGAUGAAGGUCUUCGGAUCGUAAACCUCUGUCAGCAGGGAAGAACGGUCACUGUGCUAAUCAGCAGUGAAUUGACGGUACCUGCAAAGGAAGCACCGGCUAACUCCGUGCCAGCAGCCGCGGUAAUACGGAGGGUGCGAGCGUUAUCCGGAUUUACUGGGUGUAAAGGGCGUGCAGCCGGGAGGACAAGUCAGAUGUGAAAUCCCGCGGCUCAACCGCGGAACUGCAUUUGAAACUGUUUUUCUUGAGUACCGGAGAGGUCAUCGGAAUUCCUUGUGUAGCGGUGAAAUGCGUAGAUAUAAGGAAGAACACCAGUGGCGAAGGCGGAUGACUGGACGGCAACUGACGGUGAGGCGCGAAAGCGUGGGGAGCCAACAGGAUUAGAUACCCCUGUA
Molecule: ribosomal RNA, 471 nt
Filed under: uncultured bacterium
Lineage: Bacteria
Description: bacterial SSU rRNA
Rfam family: Bacterial small subunit ribosomal RNA
Source: RNAcentral